GAAUUAAAUGGCCAGAGGAAGUACAUAAAAGAGGUCAAAUCUUUUAAAUACAGCCCAAACUGUUGCAAGUUGCAACUUGGUCCUUGAGGAAAUAAGUGUCGCACACAAAAGCCUAGAAAGAAUAGGCACCUUACUACCAAAACUAAAUGAAUGAAUAAAGAAAUAAAGAAAGAAUCAUCCUGCUGCGCUGGUCCUGGCCUUUCGAUUUCAUCCUAUGCAUAUAACCAACAAAUUCAUUUCUGCAUGAACUUUUAUUGCCAUCAAGAUCACUACAUAUAAGUUAAAUGCAGUAACCUUAAGCCCAUGAAUACAACCAUAAAAAAAAACAGCAAAUACAAAUACGACUUAUGGAUAUUGUCAAGCACAGACAAAUGUCAAAGAUCCUAAAAAUAUAUGAUAUGGAUA
Molecule: long non-coding RNA, 405 nt
Filed under: Phoenix dactylifera (date palm)
Lineage: Eukaryota; Viridiplantae; Streptophyta; Magnoliopsida; Arecales; Arecaceae
Description: long non-coding RNA (PDAC_LNC008737)
Source: RNAcentral